AAAGUCGUAACAAGGUUUCCGUAGGUGAACCUGCGGAAGGAUCAUUAAUGAAUAUCUAUGGCGUGGUUGUCGCUGGCGCUUUGGCGCAUGUGCACACCCGCUAUUCAUAUCUUCCCACCUGUGCACUUUAUGUAGAGCUGAGUAACUAUCGCUUUCGAGCGGAUGCAAGGAUUGCUGCGUCGCAAGGCCGGCUCUCUUUGAACUCUCAGUUCUAUGUUCUCAUACACCCCAUUACAAACAGUCAAAGAAUGAAACAAUGGGCUUCGUGCCUAUAAAACUAUAUACAACUUUCAGCAACGGAUCUCUUGGCUCUC
RNAcentral lists this unclassified non-coding RNA (314 nucleotides) under Basidiomycota sp. RNAcentral describes it as "partial contains small subunit ribosomal RNA, internal transcribed spacer 1, and 5.8S ribosomal RNA". The stretch from base 1 to 47 matches the Rfam family "Eukaryotic small subunit ribosomal RNA", at positions 1785 to 1831 of the family's 1831-position model. Lineage: Eukaryota; Fungi; Basidiomycota. The record is from RNAcentral.